Molecule: long non-coding RNA, 920 nt
Filed under: Homo sapiens (human)
Lineage: Eukaryota; Metazoa; Chordata; Mammalia; Primates; Hominidae
Description: HSALNT0385053
Source: RNAcentral
UCGAAAUGUAGUGAGGGGGGCGGGCGUAGUGGCUCACUCCUGUAAUCCCACCACUGUGGGAAGCCGAGGCGGGCCGAUCACCUGAGGUCAGGAGUUCGAGACCAGCCUGGCCAACAUGGUGAAACACCGUUGUUACUAAAAGUACAAAAAUUAGCCGGGCGUGGUGGCGGCCGCCUUAGUCCUGGCUACUCAGGAGGCUGAGGCAGGAGAAUCGCUUGAACCCGGGAGGCGGAGGUUGCAGUAAGCCCAUGUGGCGCCACUGCAUUCCGUCCUGAGCGACAGAGCGAGACUCCGUCUCAAAAAAAUAAAUAAACAAAUAAAUAAAAGAAAGAAAGAAAAGAAAUGUAGUGAGGGAAGUAGUGUGUGGAAAAGUAAUACAAUAGGAAGCCAUGUAGCAGCGAUCAUAAAUGAACUAGAGCUACCAGGUAGCAGCAUCAAUGGCUGAAUCUCAGAAACACGAUGUUCAGUGAAAGAAGGAAGUCUAACAACACUUUUGUAAAGUUCAAACCAAGUAAAACUAAUGUUGUUUAGAGAAACGUACAUAUAUGGUAAAAUACUGUACAGAGAAGGCAAGACAUGAGAAAAAAAAAUAAAAAAGAAUCAGGAUAUUGGUGAUCUUUAGGGAGCCGGGAGGGUAGCACACAAGAGGGGGAGGGAGAGGCAGGGAAGGAGCACAUAGACACAUCCUCAGUUUCUCACGUGGGAGUGGGUUCACGUGUGUCUGUUUCAUUAUGAGGCAUAUUCAAGAUGUUUUGGAUUUAUUUUGUACUAAAUCUAGUACAAAAUAUAUGUAUAAAUUCAAGAUGUACUGGGGAAGUCGCCUGGUUUCUUGCUGGUGAUGAAAUUUUAUAGCUAUAAUUAACUCAGGGCAGAACAACUAGCAGAAUCCUCAGUGUUCGGGCGAUUGGCAGAGAAUCCAG